RNAcentral lists this ribosomal RNA (465 nucleotides) under uncultured bacterium. RNAcentral describes it as "partial 16S ribosomal RNA". It matches the Rfam family "Bacterial small subunit ribosomal RNA", at positions 28 to 507 of the family's 1533-position model. The record is from RNAcentral.
GACGAACGCUGGCGGCGUGCUUAACACAUGCAAGUCGAACGGAAAGGCCCUGCUUGCAGGGUACUCGAGUGGCGAACGGGUGAGUAACACGUGGGUGAUCUGCCCUGCACUUCGGGAUAAGCCUGGGAAACUGGGUCUAAUACCGGAUAGGAGCCAUUUUUAGUGUGAUGGUUGGAAAGUUUUUUCGGUGUAGGAUGAGCUCGCGGCCUAUCAGCUUGUUGGUGGGGUAAUGGCCUACCAAGGCGGCGACGGGUAGCCGGCCUGAGAGGGUGGACGGCCACAUUGGGACUGAGAUACGGCCCAGACGCCUACGGGAGGCAGCGGUGGGGAAUAUUGCACAAUGGGCGCAAGCCUGAUGCAGCGACGCCGCGUGGGGGAUGACGGCCUUCGGGUUGUAAACUCCUUUCGCUAGGGACGAAGCUUUUUGUGACGGUACCUAGAUAAGAAGCACCGGCUAACUACGUG